Helianthus annuus (common sunflower) is the source of this 5107-nucleotide long non-coding RNA. RefSeq lists it as uncharacterized. The record is from RefSeq and is a predicted model, not a curated record. The transcript is spliced from 7 exons. Lineage: Eukaryota; Viridiplantae; Streptophyta; Magnoliopsida; Asterales; Asteraceae.
GUAGCCUCUAGUUGAGAAGCUUCAAUCAGACGACGGAAUCAAAACAGAUAUGCAGAUCUGUUAAUCUUUCAUCAUCCUCAUCUGCGACUCACGGUACAUCUGCGACUCCGGCGAUCAUCCUCGUCACUCAUCGAUCUGAUACCGUACGUCUGAAAUCAUCUCACCAAUCUGAUUUUGAGGAGAUCUGCCGCUCGAAGAAAUCCUUUCGCCGAUCUGAUUCUGGCGACACUGAUCAUCAUUUCCUUUAAGGUUAGGUUUCGUCUAUAAGGUUAUAUCAUUGUUAACGGUUUAGAUUCAUUACACUGUAUCGAAUUGCUAGGGUUAUGGAAGCUAGAGGUUGUGAUUUUGUUUUGUUUGUGUUUGAUUAACUGAUUGAGUUCUAGUUUUAGGUUUUACAGAAAUUUGAGCUCCUGACUCUGUAUGUUUCUUUGAUCAAAUUUUAAUCAUAGGUUCUACGGAAAUUAGGAUUACUCAACAAUUGAAUCUGUUUUUUGUGUUGUGUUUCUGAAAGUGAAAUUAGGAUUAUUCGACAAUUGAAUUUCAGUUUUAGGUUUUAGAGAAAUUAGAGGUCCCGACUCUGUUUUUCUUCGUGUUUAAUUGUGUUUUGGAAAGUGAAAUUAGGACUAUUGAUCUGAUUAUAAUUUUAGGUUUUACAGAAAUUAGAGCUCCUGAUCAUGUGUUUCUUCUUGCAUGUUCGUAUUCAGGUUUUUAGGAAAGUGGAAUUAGGAUAAGUAAGCGAAUAUAAUUCGUUGUUUGAAUUUUAAUCUUAGGUUUUACAGAAGUAAGAGCUCCUGACUCUGUUUUUCUUGUGUAUUCGUAUCAAUUUGUGUUUAAAUUAGGCUUUACAAAAAUUAAAACUGUUGGCUCUGUUUUUAUUUUUGUGUGUUCGUAUUCAAUUGUGAUUAGUAAAGUGAAAGUAGGCCCGUCGUUUGCCUUCCACGCCGGUAGAAAUCCUGUCGCCCCACACACAACGCUAAAUACAGGGUGGUUUAAUGGACUGGCCUCCAUGUCAGAUAUCCACGUUCACACCGUAUUUUCUAACCCAAAAGGACAGAAUUACACUUUCAUUAUUUAUUUUAUUAUUAUCUUGACACGCAAGAAUAAUGAGUUUCAAUAAACCAAAGUGUUUGGUUCUGUACAUGCCAAUUUUACAAGUACUCUCUCUCUCUCUCUCUCUCUCUCUCUCUCUCUAAAAACUCUCGAUUUCGACUCCCACACACACACACAGAUGAUCUAGUUGCCGAAUCACCAACUCACGUCGUUUCUUCGCAAAUCAUCCUCAUCAAUCUUCAGAUCACAUCCUCAUAGAUCCAGGUAUGAUAUCGCUCGCUCGCUUUAUCUAUCUAUCGACCUAUACAUACACGUAUUUAUGUAUAUAUCGUGUUUACUGCGUCAUCUAUGUUAGUUGUUUGUUCAAUCGUUCGUUGAUCUUCUUCAAUGCAGCAGGCAAAUUAGCUACGUAAGGUCCAUGUGUUUCCCCUAACGGUGUUGCUAACAUGCACCUCCUUUAGGAACCAACGAACUACUACGUGUGUGAGUGUGGUGGACCGGUAAUUAGGUGUUUGUUGCUGAAUUGAUAGGUGCUGUUGUGUGAUGAUGUCGGCUAAUCAGGUGGUGAAAUUACGGAGAAAAGAGUUAGCGGCAUGCAUGACAUGCCCUAUCUGCAAUAAAUUGUUGCGAGAUGCUACUACUGUUCCUGAAUGUCUUCAUACGUGUGAGUCUGUUUAUCUGUUUGGUAUUGUUUUAUCCAUUUCGAUCGUAAUUCUCGAUUCGCCACUACGAGUUUGACUUUGUAGUAUCACAAUUGGGCUUCUUCGUGAUUUAUAGAUUAUUAUUCAUGUUGACUGUCAAAAUAAUUGUGUGUUUGUCUUGUUAAGUUGAUUGAUGUGACUAUAGGAAUGAUUCAGUUACUUGUCAAAAUAUGUCAUGAAAUGUAGGGUGCAGGCCAAUUGAAACUUAAGUUUUAUUUAGGGGUUAAACAUGCAUGCAAUUCUGAUUGAAGAUUAUGUAAAUAUGUGUUAUGAAGAUAAUUAUUUGAUUAUAAUCUAGUGUUAAUUAGGUAACAUGUUAAUGGUAAUGCUUAUCUUACUGUAGUUUUAUAUGAUUAAUUUCAUACUGGUUGCAUAAGAAAUAGUAGUCAAAUGAAAGAGGAUUUCUUUCAAACACUUAACAUCAGUUAUCAAAGGUGAGUUUGGAUCUUUGUACUCUCUUUGGGGUUCAAACAUGGUGUUUGGGUAAGAUGAUAAAGCUUUGAAUAAUCGAUUUGAUACUGUGUUAAUGGGCACGUGUUUGAAGAAAUGCAAAGGCCCGAUACACCUUUGUACAACAUUAAGGCUUACUUGCCCGUUGUCGAGUCAUUUGGGUUUUCAGGUGCAUCGAGGGCGGUGACUUCGGGUCAAGCCUUUUCCCGCAAUCGGUGUUUGACCAUUGGGAAAUGAUGUCUUCUGACCCGUUGGAACCGGGGUCGCAAGCUACCGCACUUGUGGCUAGUAUUCGCAAGAGAAAAGGGUUAAAGGAACAGCUCACUCCCCUCUCUGAAUUUGAGGACAAGCUGUAAGUUGGUGGUUAAGAAAAGAGGUUAAUAAAUAAGAAAAUAUUAUUUGUGUGAGUAUUAUAAGUUAGUAUCUUUAAUAGUUAAAAUUUUUCUGUUAAUGUUAUAACUAUAUAGGGUCAUGCUGCCUUAGUAGGAUAUGCAGCUUACAUCCUAUGAAUCUAUGAUGUCUUAUUUUCUGUAAUGUGUGUUUAAUUAAUAUGUCGAGUUUGUGUUAAAGUUUUCAGUUUUAGUGUUGUUUAAGCUAAUCUUUGUGGGUUUCUAUUAUCCGUUUUAAGCAUCUGAGUGGAGGUGAACACGGACCAAACUUGACCGGGUCUAUACGGGACCGGAAACUGGAAGUGAGGGGAAAGGGAUACCUUCUCGGAUCGUUAGUGGCGGGUUUUGGUGGUGGUUAGGGGAGUGACGAAGAUGGCCUCAAGAGCUCCGACGAAACAUCAAGUGUUACAGCCAUAAGAGAAGCAGAUUCACAUCAGAAAAUUACUCCGUCUCCGGGUUUAGGCUUGUUAGUGAUGCUGUUGUUACAUUGACGACGUUUCUGGAUAAGCAAAUUGGAUUUAAAUGAUCGGCGAGGUUUAGUAGUUUCAAUGUUUGAUUGUGAAAUAUUUGUUAAUUUGUGUUUGAUAGUGGAUUUGUUGUGUUUUGAAAGCGCAGCGUCACAAGCGAGCAAGCAUUGAGUUUGUUCAGGAGCCUUCAACGAUUGUAAGUAAUUUUUAAUUAUGCACGAAUUUAGUUGUUUCUGAUGCUUAAUUUCUUGAUUGAUGAAUCAAUUUUUGGUUUAAGUGAUGUGACGGAUGCAAAAUCGCUAAAUUUGCUACCUCAGGUAGGUUACGUCUGCAAUUGAGGAGUUAUUAGUAGCACAGGGAGAACCAUUGGUAACUGAUUUGAGCAUAGAGUUGUUCUAAAGUUAUGCUUAUUAGGUUUUAUAUGCUUUGUGUUUGUACUUUUUACAUAUGGUACAACUAUCUAGCUUACUUUUAGCUCCACGUUUUGACUACGGGUGUAAAUUUUUCCUUUGACUCUCUUUCUUUAGUUAAUAAUAAUAUGUGUUACUGAUUUCAGCCCAUCUGCUUUUGAGCAGGUAAAAAUAGGUAAAAAAAAAUGGAACGGGUCAAAUCACUCAAAUGGCUGGAACAGGUCAAUGGUUGGCCAAAGUGUACCUAAAAGAAUCCAGAAAUUAUUGCAUGUACAUAUGGACCACAGCCUAUCCAUUUGGAACAUAAGAUUAAACUUUUGGGAAAUAGUCCAGUUGGAAAUGCGUCUUAUGAUGUGUUGGUGGAUGUCCCGUUUCCAGUACAAAGGGAACUUGAUACUGAGAAAGGUUACUGGAGAGCCUUUAAUGCAAAGGAAGGAUGAUACUGCAGCAGUUCUCAAAUCAAGGAAAACGGUGAACAUAAAGGAAAACAGGCCCGUUUCUUUCACUUACGAGGUUGCGUUUGUCGAAAGUGACAUCAAGUGGCCAUCGAGAUGGGAUGCUUAUUAAAAGAUGGUGGGAGCGAAAGUGCAUUGGUUCUCGAUUUUGAACUCGUUUAUGGUUAUCACUUUCUUGGCAGGUAUCGUCCUUGUGAUCUUUUUAAGAACGGUUAGACGGGAUUUGACUCACUACGAGGAGUUAGACAAGGAGGCACAAGCGCAGAUGAACGAAGAAUUAUCGGGUUGGAAGCUCGUCGUAGCUGACGUUUUCCGUGCUCCCAGCAACCCGGGACUUCUAAGCGUAAUGGUUGGAAACGUGGUUCAGAUUCUCGGAAUGGCAGUUGUGACGAUCAUGUUUGCCGCCCUCGGGUUCAUGUCUCCCGCUUCGCGUGGGACUCUGGUGACCGGUAUGCUAAUCUUCUACAUGGUUCUCGGAAAUUCAGCCGAUUACGUUGCUGUACGUAUGUGGUGAACGAUCUUCUGUGGGGACCACAGAGGAUGGGUCUCGAUUUCUUGGAAGGUCGCCUGUUUUUCCCCGGUAUCGCGUUUUAACAAAAUACCAAUACAUUGAUAUAUGUACUUCACCUCCUUUUGUUAAACUAGCUUUUAGUCGUAUUAUGCUAUAAAAGACAUAUGAACGUUGUUCCCGGUAGGUACAUGUACACAUUAAGAGACACUUGAUAUGUGAACUGCCAGAAACCGAUAGUGGCAUCAAACAAUGGUGUAGAGACAGAUUUGUCGAAAAGUGUAGUUGAGGGACUGCACAAGCUCUUCAAUUGCCGGAUGUUGCCCUCAAACAAAAGGUAUACGUAAAGCGCUUAUUUAUCGUCGUUAUUACUGAUUACUGAUGCCAUUGAUCUGGCCAGAAUUGUUGAUCGUCAUUAUUACUGUUAUGCUAGAAAAUGCUAUUGCCGUGUGGACUUCCACCAGAAAGAGAAGAGGAUUAAAGGGCGGUUUAUUCUACAUAUGUGGAGGUUUAGGCUGUGUUUAUGAGUGCAUUAUUGACUAAAUGUGACAGGAUAAUUUGUAUCUUUAUGGUAUCCUGAUAUAGAUGUCUUAUGUACUGUUUCACCAUGCACUAAUGUUUUCGUUCAAAACAUGUUUUUUUUAAGUAUAUUUUUUAUUGUUAUGAUAACUUUGGUA